GGGGGGAGGAGAUCGGUGUGGUCUCCGCCUGGGCUGUCCACUCUGAAAGCCCAAAGGAGCCUCAUCACGGCAGCAAGGCCGAGGCCUCUGGGACCAGGGGCCGGGACGGAGAGCAGGACGGGGGCAGAACACCAGGGCUAACGCUGGAGGAAGUGAGGACAGGGUUCUGAUGAGAGGUUGCUGUCACCAGAGCCGCCCAGCUUGGGCACUAAAUGGAGACCUUCCCGGGACAUGGAGGCCCAGCCCCUUGAAUGACAGGGACCCACCACACCUUAGGAAGCUGGAGGCGCUGUCCAGUCACCUCACUGAACAGAUUCGAUUGGGUGCAUAGUGCCACCUCUGAUUACUUCCUGGGGGAGAUUCGGAGAGCGAGACCACCAAGUUAAGUGUGCUCACCUUGCAGCCCAGGGUCGCCCCGUGUGGGCGAGUGACGCACUGUCUCGCGGGAGGUAUCACUGUCCCUGUGCUUGUCUGGCGCCUGCAUGCCGUGAGCCUCUCCUGGCGCAACCAGGCCCUCCCACCCCCUCUGCCGGCGUCUUACGGCCUUAUUUGCUCAGGGUAUCUUAUUCCGUCUGGGAUUUAUUUGGGGCACGGGGCCAUAGGUCAUCCCCCCCAAUUAGCUGACAACGUCCUCGGGACUAUUAUGGACACUCCCUUCUUUCCCGAGGACGUGCUGCAGCAUGUGUAUCUCAGGGCAGAGCCUUCUGGGGGAGGUGUCUCACCUUCCUCUGGUCUGUGGAUCCGAGGGACUGUUUUCUGGGGUCAGAACCAGCUGGUUGGACGGACGAUUGCUCCAUAAUUACGAUCUCUUCCCAUCUGAAAUUUCCUUGUCGGUUGUAUGUGUUUGUUGCUGUGGCAUAACAAAUGACCCCACAGCCUAGUGUCUUAAAACAACAAACAUUAAUGAUCUCUCACAGUUUGUGGGUGGUUCUCCUUCAGGAUCUCUUUGCUGGCACCAAGCAGGCACCGAAGGCUGGACGGGGCCGGUGGCCUCCGUUCCUCACACACGGGCCUCUGCACAGGGCUGCUCCCAGAACGGCAGAGGUUUCCCCGGAGACGGGAGCAGCGAAGGUGGGAGUCUUGAGACCUACUUGAUAUCAAGACUGGGAAGGUCACUUCUGCCCUGACCAGGAAUCGAACUGCUCAUAAGUCUACGCUCAACUACCAAGCCAGGCUAGCCGGACCCUUGGUUGAUUCUUCUGCGUGCCCUGACCAGGGACCAAAUCUACCACCCUGGUGUAUUAGGAUGACGCUCUAACCACUGCACACCCGGCUAGGGCAGCUGGGGCCUUCUUGGGGAAAGGUGGGCUUGUGUUGAACCCGCGCAUCGGUGCACAGGUGCCGGGUUCAUCCGGCCACGAGGAGGGAUAUUCUCUCACUGCCUCUGGCAGUGGUUUUCUUCUAUGCGCCCUGCACACGCUUACGGCCAGCGAGAGCACAGGGCUCCCUCUCUCCCGUGUGUUUCUAACUCACCGGGAAGCCCUGGGGUUCACCUUGUUCUGGGUCUGGUCACCUCACUGACGUCUGCCGUGUGGGCAGGGGCUCUGAGGUCUGCAGACGGGCCCUAUCGGGCCAGUGUCUGCUGCAGGGGACCCUGCUCCCCACACAAGAGCUGCUAGUGGGCCGGGGCUCAGGCUGCUGAGCAUCAGAGUCACCUGGAACGUUGUGAAAAGCACCAGCUCUCCCAGCACCAGCCGAGGCCGAGGGGCUCAGAACGGGCGGGGCUGCCCCAGAACAACACGUUCAUAUAAACCCCCAGGAAGCAGGGUGUCUACUGAGGCGCUUUCUCCCUCCUUCCAGGCCGCAAACCUGGGUGUGAGCCUCCACUUCACCCCUCUCCUGGCAGCCCACCCCGACCCCAUGUCCUCCCAGAACCCAGGAUGCUGUGAGGCACCCCCUGCUGGCCUUGGUCCAAACCCCUGCUGGGAAACUUCGGUCCAGAGGCGGAGGGACUUGCCCCAGGACACAGCGAGUGGGCAGGGAUGUCCCAGUGAGGUGUCCUGGGCCCUGCCCAGUGCUCUCCUGAGCACCUGAGCCAGAAGACCACCUCUGCGGCCAGGCCUUGUCCACCACCCCCCACAUCCUGGCCCCUCUGUUGCCCGGCCCUUAGAACAACGAGUUCCUGCAGGCAGCACAGGGAUGGAGUCAUCGAAUGCCCACGUUUCCUGGGAUCCCCCCCCCCCCGGGGCUCACGCAGCCCCAGGCAGCUCCCAUCUGGUUCCAUCAGACAUGCUUUGGGGCCAAGAGCUGGGAAGC
Myotis myotis is the source of this 2256-nucleotide long non-coding RNA. RefSeq lists it as uncharacterized. NCBI's taxonomy places the organism in Eukaryota, Metazoa, Chordata, Mammalia, Chiroptera, Vespertilionidae. The record is from RefSeq and is a predicted model, not a curated record. The transcript is spliced from 3 exons.